This is a long non-coding RNA of Rosa rugosa (rugosa rose), 715 nucleotides long. RefSeq lists it as uncharacterized. The transcript has 2 exons. The record is from RefSeq and is a predicted model, not a curated record. Lineage: Eukaryota; Viridiplantae; Streptophyta; Magnoliopsida; Rosales; Rosaceae.
GGCCUAGUCUAUUGGGUACUAAUUACAUAAUUAGAAUCUUAAAUAUGCAGGUAGCAGCUAACAGCUAUACAGCAACAAUUUAUUAGAGUGGCCCUGCUGCUUUGACGUUGAGGAUUUAAAAGCUCAAGCAUCCAUGGAACAUACAUUGAUAAGAAGUGCCCUUGAGAUGCCAUGGUGACUUUGUGAGGGACUGAGGGCUACUGAACAUGUAAAGCAUCUAUCUGUGGAAAUGCUAUGCCGCUGCUGGGACCUCAAAAUCUGCAAAAGCACCAAAACAAGGGCUGCUGCCACCAAGAAAAGCUAAAGAUAUAUCAAUUUAUUGCCUUGCUGCCUUUUUUUGGUUUUUGUUUCUAUGAUGUUGCAUUGGUGCAAAGUAUAAAUGUAUAACUAUCUAAUGUAUAAAUGUGUAAUACAAUGUCUUUUUAAACUGAAAUGUGUAGGGAAAAAAAUUUGAAGACAGAGGACUGGAGGAGCAGCUGCAUAGCAUUGAGCAUGGCAGCAUGGAACUGAUGGAAGUUUGGUUGUUCACUUGUUGUCUUGUCGAACAUUGUUUUGGUUUUUAAUUUGUUAUGUUGUUAAGACAAUAUGUGUUGUUGAACUUGUUGUGUAACUGUGUUGAUUGAAAUCAUUGAAUGAUUGUUAUUUGCAAGAUGGAUUUAUUUGCAGCCUUGCUGCUAGUGCAGAUUGCACUUUGCAGAAUGGUUUAUUGAUUUUA